RNAcentral lists this ribosomal RNA (506 nucleotides) under Cellulomonas sp. MSB3037. RNAcentral describes it as "bacterial SSU rRNA". It matches the Rfam family "Bacterial small subunit ribosomal RNA", at positions 8 to 526 of the family's 1533-position model. Lineage: Bacteria; Bacillati; Actinomycetota; Actinomycetes; Micrococcales; Cellulomonadaceae. The record is from RNAcentral.
AGAGUUUGAUCAUGGCUCAGGACGAACGCUGGCGGCGUGCUUAACACAUGCAAGUCGAACGGUGAACUCCAGCUUGCUGGGGGGAUCAGUGGCGAACGGGUGAGUAACACGUGAGCAACCUGCCCUUCACUCUGGGAUAAGCCUUGGAAACGGGGUCUAAUACCGGAUAUGAGGCGCUCGGGCAUCCGAAGCGUCUGGAAAGAUUUAUCGGUGGGGGAUGGGCUCGCGGCCUAUCAGCUUGUUGGUGGGGUAGUGGCCUACCAAGGCGACGACGGGUAGCCGGCCUGAGAGGGCGACCGGCCACACUGGGACUGAGACACGGCCCAGACUCCUACGGGAGGCAGCAGUGGGGAAUAUUGCACAAUGGGCGCAAGCCUGAUGCAGCGACGCCGCGUGAGGGAUGAAGGCCUUCGGGUUGUAAACCUCUUUCAGCAGGGAAGAAGCGCAAGUGACGGUACCUGCAGAAGAAGCGCCGGCUAACUACGUGCCAGCAGCCGCGGUAAUAC